This 245-nucleotide unclassified non-coding RNA is filed under the name Hevea brasiliensis (rubber tree). Lineage: Eukaryota; Viridiplantae; Streptophyta; Magnoliopsida; Malpighiales; Euphorbiaceae. The record is from RNAcentral.
AAUUACACUAUGAUUGUAAAAACAAGCACGUAACAAGCAACUACUUCAAGGAAUAAAUUUCUUUUGCUCAAAAAUGGUCUGAGCUUUGACAAACCUUACAAAUAACCCAAUGUAGAACAAUUGGCUGACCAGAAUAGCUACAUAAUAACUUAUCUAUGUUGUUUGAAAUCCUAUGAUAAAAUCAAGAGUAAUUACACUCAUAACUAAUUCUGAUCAACAUAAACUUAUUUUUUGGUGAAACCUCA